RNAcentral lists this ribosomal RNA (457 nucleotides) under uncultured bacterium. Its description in RNAcentral is "bacterial SSU rRNA". It matches the Rfam family "Bacterial small subunit ribosomal RNA", at positions 340 to 788 of the family's 1533-position model. The record is from RNAcentral.
UACGGAAGGCAGCAGUGGGGAAUAUUGCACAAUGGGCGCAAGCCUGAUGCAGCCAUGCCGCGUGUAUGAAAAAGGCCUUCGGGUUGUAAAGUACUUUCAGUCGUGAGGAAGGUGUUAAGGUUAAUAACCUUAGCAAUUGACGUUAGCGACAGAAGAAGCACCGGCUAACUCCGUGCCAGCAGCCGCGGUAAUACGGAGGGUGCGAGCGUUAAUCGGAAUUACUGGGCGUAAAGGGCACGCAGGCGGUUAAUUAAGUUGGAUGUGAAAUCCCCGGGCUUAACCUGGGAAUGGCAUUCAAGACUGGUUAGCUAGAGUCUUGUAGAGGGGGUUAGAAUUCCAUGUGUAGCGGUGAAAUGCGUAGAGAUGUGGAGGAAUACCGGUGGCGAAGGCGGCCCCUGGACAAAGACUGACGCUCAUGUGCGAAAGCGUGGGGAGCGAAACAGGGAUUAGAUACCCG